AGCAUUUGCUAUGCUCUAGUGCUGUACAGAAGUGGAGGGAGGAAGCAGGCCCUGUCCUUAGUGAUCUCGUUUCAUACGUGGUGUGAGUUCCAGAGCCUUUUAAGGCUGUGGCUCAAGGUGCUGGGUUAUAUAAGGGCUUUUAGGAAUGAGAGGAUCCUUUCUUGUUUCUUUUAUACUAGGAUUUAAUAGAAGAAAAAGACAUCAGCCUGCUAUGGAUGGGGCGUUGCCUGAGGGAAGACAUGGAGGUUCAUCUGAGGUGCUGGACCAUGGACGGUAAUGAAUGUUUUCACACUUGUCCUUGCUAGGACCCAGCCCUCCGGAGGCAGUAGCAGGCAGUAGUCAUGGAGUACAUUCUAGAACAUUCAGUUUCCAGACUGUGCCCUUCCUGGCUUCUUACCUUGGUCACACUACCAGUCCUGAGUCUCCAUUUCCUCAAAUGUGAAAUGUUCCGGCACCCAGGGGCUUUACGAGGGUUAGAGGAGAAAACUCAUUUGCGGCCUGGUGAGAUUGUGAGAAACGCUAGCUAUUAAUUAAUAUCACUGGCUGCCAGAGAGUACGGGCCGAGUCUGCACACUGGGCAGAAAGACCUGACCAUUAGAUGCUUGACAUCGAGAACUCAUUCAUUCUGUCAAGGGCAGACUUGAGUAAGGCAAGAACACUGAAGCAAGUAUGGUAUUUUUUUUUAAAUGUUUGCAGUGCUGGGGAUUGAACUCAGGGCUUUGUGUAUGCCAGGCAAGCCACUCCACCACUGGGCCACCCUUCCAGUGCUUCAAGUAUAGUAACCUCUGGCCUACAUCAGCUCAGUGUGCCCUGUGGAUCAGUUUCCUUGCUGAUACUCUACUCAUAAAAUGUCACUUAAUUUUCUCAAGUCAACAGUAGGGUUGGCUCCCCUCUUCCCAAGUUACAAAAGAAAACCUGGAGGCUGUCAUAAUCCAUUUUUCGUUGUUGUUGUUGUUGUUGUUGUUGCUGCUGUUGUUGCUAUAAGAAAGCAUCUGAAACUGAGUAGCUUAUAAACAACAGAGGGUUUGGAGUUCAUAGUCCAGGAGGCUGGAUGUCCAAAGGCAUGGACACAGCAUCUGUUGAAAGCCUUAUGUUAUGUCAUAAUAUGGCAUGGAAUGUCCCAUGGAAACAGAACGUCCCUGCCAGCUCAGACUCCUGGAUCUCUUCUUAGAGAGCCAUUAAUAUCAAAAUAGGGGGUCCUACCCUGAUGACCUCCUCUGAUCUUAGUGGCCUCCCCAAAAGCCCCACCUCCAAACACCAUGAAUAUGUGUGGGUAUUAAGCUUACAAUGCGUGAGCCAUGACAGAAGCUGUAGAGGGAUGGCAGAUGGGCUGGAAGAGGAACAGCCAUGAUGGGCUGGCCCCUCCCGCUCUUUCCUUUCCAGGCCAGGUUACGGGAGCCGUGAGCAUGGGAGAGAUCUGGUUUGGCGGGAGUGUAAACCCUGACCAACGCGCUCCAGCUUUGGAGGGCCGGUUAUCGGUGGCUCAUUCCCAACUCCAGGAAGGCAGUUUUUGGAUACUGCAGGGGUGUAGACUAGGAUAUCUCAGACUUAGAAGAGCUGAAGAGCCUAGGAGCGCCCUUCGUACCCCCAGCCCCCGAGGCCAUUUUGCCUUUGUUCUCACUCAGGCUUCUGGACCUUGUGGCAUCGCUCACAUUAAAGGCAACAUGAGAUCACAGGGGCUCCGUGGACACAGCCUUCAGGGCCAGCGGAAGCUCCUCUUUAGAGGCCGUCCAUCAGUGCACACCUUCCCCCCAGGAGCCCAUCAACUUGAACAGCCACAGUCAGGGGCACAGAGCCCAUGAUACUCACCAACCUUUGCCUGGCCACUUAGCCUUUUUACAACUCCAUGUCCCUUCCAAUAAAACAGAACAUUCUAGAUGUGAA
Molecule: non-coding RNA, 1884 nt
Organism: Rattus norvegicus (Norway rat)
Lineage: Eukaryota; Metazoa; Chordata; Mammalia; Rodentia; Muridae
Source: RefSeq, a predicted model, not a curated record